UCAGGAUGAACGCUAGCGGCAGGCUAACACAUGCAAGUCGAGGGGCGAGCGCGAGUAGCAAUACUUGGCGGCGACCGGCGCAAGGGUGCGUAACGCGUGAGCAACAUGCCCGUAUCAGGGGGAUAAUCCAGGGAAACUUGGUCUAAUACCCCAUAGUAAUUUUGUAAGGCAUCUUAUAAGAUUUAAAGCUUUGGUGGAUACGGAUUGGCUCGCGUGACAUUAGCUGGAUGGUAAGGUAACGGCUUACCAUGGCUAUGAUGUCUAGGGGUUCUGAGAGGAAGGUCCCCCACACUGGAACUGAGACACGGUCCAGACUCCUACGGGAGGCAGCAGUGAGGAAUAUUGGACAAUGGAUGGAAAUCUGAUCCAGCCAUGCCGCGUGAAAAGGAAGAAGGUCCUAUGGAUUGUAAACUUCUUUUGUAUGGGAGCAAUAAGGCCUACGAGUAGGUUGAUGAGAGUACCAUACGAAUAAGCACCGGCUAACUCCGUGCCAGCCGCCGC
RNAcentral lists this ribosomal RNA (501 nucleotides) under uncultured bacterium. RNAcentral's name for it is "bacterial SSU rRNA". It matches the Rfam family "Bacterial small subunit ribosomal RNA", at positions 24 to 518 of the family's 1533-position model. The record is from RNAcentral.